CCAGACUCCUACGGGAGGCAGCAGUGGGGGAUAUUGCACAAUGGGGGAAACCCUGAUGCGGCGACGCCGCGUGGGCGAAGAAGUAUUUCGGUAUGUAAAGCCCUAUCAGCAGGGAAGAAGAAAUGACGGUACCUGAGUAAGAAGCACCGGCUAAAUACGUGCCAGCAGCCGCGGUAAUACGUAUGGUGCAAGCGUUAUCCGGAUUUACUGGGUGUAAAGGGAGCGCAGGCGGCACGGCAAGCCUGAUGUGAAAGCCCGCGGCCCAACCGCGGGACUGCAUUGGGAACUACCGGGCUGGAGUGCCGGAGAGGUAGGCGGAAUUCCUAGUGUAGCGGUGAAAUGCGUAGAUAUCAGGAGGAACACCGGCGGCGAAGGCGGCCUGCUGGACCGUGACUGACGUUGAGGCUCGAGAGCGUGGGGAGCAAACAGGAUUAGAUACCCGAGUAG
This 447-nucleotide ribosomal RNA is filed under the name uncultured bacterium. RNAcentral describes it as "bacterial SSU rRNA". It matches the Rfam family "Bacterial small subunit ribosomal RNA", at positions 331 to 793 of the family's 1533-position model. The record is from RNAcentral.